This 402-nucleotide ribosomal RNA is filed under the name uncultured prokaryote. Its description in RNAcentral is "bacterial SSU rRNA". It matches the Rfam family "Bacterial small subunit ribosomal RNA", at positions 355 to 774 of the family's 1533-position model. The record is from RNAcentral.
UGGGGAAUAUUGCACAAUGGACGAAAGUCUGAUGCAGCAACGCCGCGUGGAGGAUGACACAUUUCGGUGCGUAAACUCCUUUUAUAUAGGAAGAUAAUGACGGUACUAUAUGAAUAAGCACCGGCUAACACCGUGCCAGCAGCCGCGGUAAUACGGAGGGUGCAAGCGUUACUCGGAAUCAAUGGGGGUAAAGAGCGUGUAGGCGGAUAUAUAAGUCAGAAGUGAAAUCCAAUAGCUUAACUAGUGAACUGCUUUUGAAACUGUAUAUCUAGAAUGUGGGAGAGGUAGAUGGAAUUUCUGGUGUAGGGGUGAAAUCCGUAGAGAUCAGAAGGAAUACCGAUUGCGAAGGCGAUCUACUGGAACAUUAUUGACGCUGAGACGCGAAAGCUUGGGGAGCAAACA